RNAcentral lists this ribosomal RNA (450 nucleotides) under uncultured bacterium. RNAcentral describes it as "bacterial SSU rRNA". It matches the Rfam family "Bacterial small subunit ribosomal RNA", at positions 355 to 825 of the family's 1533-position model. The record is from RNAcentral.
UGGGGAAUCUUCCACAAUGGACGAAAGUCUGAUGGAGCGACGUCGCGUGAUGGACGAAGUGCUUCGGCACGUAAACAUCUUUUAUGUGGGAUGAAAUUAUUGACAGUACCACAUGAAUAAGGGGCUCCUAACUCUGUGCCAGCAGGAGCGGUAAUACAGAGGCCCCAAGCGUUAUCCGGAAUCACUGGGCGUAAAGGGUGUCGAGGCGGUUGUAUUAGUCGUUCGUAAAAUCUACGAGCUUAACUUGUAGGCGGCGAACGAAACGGUACGACUUGAGGUUUGGAGAGGUGCGUGGAACUCACGGUGUAGGGGUGAAAUCCGUUGAUAUCGUGGGGAACACCAAAGGCGAAGGCAGCGCACUGGCCAAAAUCUGACGCUCACACACGAAAGCUAGGGUAGCGAAGAGGAUUAGAUACCCUUGUAGUCCCUGAGCGGGCUGGCAAGGCGCAU